RNAcentral lists this long non-coding RNA (1075 nucleotides) under Macaca mulatta (Rhesus monkey). RNAcentral's name for it is "lncRNA (ENSMMUG00000057379.1)". The record is from RNAcentral. Lineage: Eukaryota; Metazoa; Chordata; Mammalia; Primates; Cercopithecidae.
UCUGUCCACAAAGGAAUGGCUAAAUUAUAGCCCAGCACAUCCCUCUGGCAGUGUAGCUGAGCUCAGGAAAGGUAUGUUCUGUGCAUUAGCAUCUGGGGGAGCAAGAGGGGUCAGGAGAAUAGGAAGGAAGAACCCUUCACCAAACCAGGUCACAAGGCCCAGCCUGGGCUGAUGUGUGUGUCACACUCUUGGAAAGGUCACCUCCUCACCACCAUCCCAGUCUCCACCAGGAUUGUACAGCAGUGUCUAUUAAUGACAGAACCAUUCUUCAAUGUCAUUUACCCAAAACAUAUCAUUUAGCAUUAAUCUAUUCAUAGAAUGUUUCUGAAAUAUUUUUAAGCUAGUUUUAGGGGCCGGGUGAGGUGACUCAUGCCUGUAAUCCUAGCACUUUGGGAGGCCAAGGAGGGUGGAUUGCCUGAGUUCAGGAGUUUGAGACCAGCCUGAGCAACACGGUGAAACCCCGUCUCUACUAAUAUACAAAAAAGAAAUUAGCUGGGUAUGGCGGCAUGUGCCUGUAGUCCCAGCUACUUGGGAGUCUGAGGCGGGAGAAUUGCUUGAACCCGGGAGAUGGAGGUUGCAAUGAGCCAAGAAUGCACCACUGCACUCCAGCCUGAGCAACAGAGCAAGACUCCAUCUCCAAAAAUAAAAAUAAAAAUAAACUGGUUUGGGGGCUGCAAAAUACUAUCUCAUAGUAGUUAAAGCAGCCACGUAAGACUCUGGGUCUUCGCCAGAGCCACAGGGACUCUGUGGAAAGGAAAGCCCCCUUUCCUUCCUUAGACCUUCCAUGCUUACCUCCACCUCCAUAUUUCUCCUCUUUCUCCAACAGGAACAAGCUCAGCUGGGAGUGAGCAAUGAAAGGCAGGUCCAGCCCUUUCACCAUGGCUGCAGUUGGAAGCAAACAAGUGAAUUUGACACAAGAAACCGAAGAAGAAAGAACUAAUCUAGUCAAGAUCUCAAGCGAGAAGAGCUACUCUGAAAGAAGAUACUGCUCGUCAGAAGGACAUGUGAAACUCUGUUAUUUGUAUAUUCUGGUUAACAUAAAAAGCCCUGACAAACAAGAGGGAAAAAAAAUGGC